RNAcentral lists this ribosomal RNA (378 nucleotides) under uncultured eukaryote. RNAcentral describes it as "partial 18S ribosomal RNA". It matches the Rfam family "Eukaryotic small subunit ribosomal RNA", at positions 592 to 975 of the family's 1831-position model. The record is from RNAcentral.
CAAUAGCGUAUAUUUAAGUUGUUGCAGUUAAAAAGCUCGUAGUUGGAUUUCGGAUGGGAUUUGCCGGUCCGUCGUUACGAUGUGCACUGGCCAGUCCUAUCUUGUUGUCGGGGACUAGCUCCUUGGAUUCACUUCCUGGGACUAGGAGCUGACGAGGUUACUUUGAGUAAAUUAGAGUGUUCAAAGCAAGCCUACGCUCUGAAUACAUUAGCAUGGAAUAACACGAUAGGACUCUGGCUUAUCUUGUUGGUCUGUGAGGCCAGAGUAAUGAUUAAGAGGGACAGUCGGGGACAUUCGUAUUUCAUUGUCAGAGGUGAAAUUCUUGGAUUUAUGAAAGACGAACUUCUGCGAAAGCAUUUGUCAAGGAUGUUUUCAUUA